This is an RNA transcript of Salvia splendens (bonfire salvia), 2461 nucleotides long. It is a transcript of the gene named pentatricopeptide repeat-containing protein At5g47360, with no coding region annotated. The transcript is spliced from 3 exons. The record is from RefSeq and is a predicted model, not a curated record. NCBI's taxonomy places the organism in Eukaryota, Viridiplantae, Streptophyta, Magnoliopsida, Lamiales, Lamiaceae.
CUAAUUAUCACUACACGACAUUACAUAUCCAAACUAAACAAAACCUAAUAUCUAAUUCCACACUCACCACCAACACCGACACCACAUCGCGACACCCUGUCCGCCGCCUACUACCACCUCCACCAACGGAGCGACAAACUCCGACCUCACACAGCUGCACGUCGAUGCCUUCUCCCAGAUCCCCCACUUCGUUUGCCAAAUCUCCUAAUUUUUUUGUUACAUUCGACUUUGAUCAGUCGAACAUCUCGACACCAACAAAGAACCAAAAUUGGACCAUCAACACUGAAAUCGGCAACCCCACGGAGCUUCACACACUCACCUUCACCAAGAUCGACCAAAUCGACUGGUAAGACCGAAAUCGAGCAGUCGGAAACCUAGAAUACAAAGAAUCAUCGCCAGAAUAUCAUCCACAGGGAGGAUCCGAAGAAAAUACGAUGGACCGCGAAUCCAGAGAGAAUCUUCAGCUCUAAUCGACGACGUUCAACACUUCAAAGGUACAUAUGAGUUAGAACACAACUUUGGUUACUGUCAUAUCUACCCGCUGACAACAAACUUAGAAGAAAUAUUUGAUCCAUUCCAGCCCAAGAUUAUGCAUAUAUCAUCAAUUUCAUUCAUUCGACGCUCGUCCUCUCUAAUUGCACCCAGAGCCCCCGAUUUCCCACUCAAAAAAUUCCUCUUUUUCAGCAAAUAUUCAUCCAUUCCAGCCCAAGAUUUCCUGACCCAUUUGCAGAAACAUCAAUCCCAUGUCGAGAAAAAUCUAAACGCGGUGAAAUCCAAUCUGGAUUCUCAAUGCAUAGCGCAAGUGUUGGAACAGUGUGCUAUUGAAAAGCCUAAAUUGGGCGUCAGAUUCUUCGUUUGGGCUGCUUUUCACCCCACACACAGACACACUUCGUACAUGUAUAGCAAAGCUUGUAAGCUACUGAAUCUUGAGAAAAACCCUCGAAUCAUUGCUGAUGUUGUGGAUGAGUAUAGGGCUGAGGGUUUUGCAGUCAGUGUUAGGAUGUUUAAGGUGCUCUUGAAUUUGUGUAAAGAGGCUCGGUGUGCGGAGAUGGGAUUGUGGGUUUUGGGGAAAAUGAAGGAGCUUGGUUGUAUGCCUGAUACGGUGUCGUAUAAUGUUGUAAUUAGGCUUCUUGUUGCUGAAGGUCGAUUAGAUGAGUCGAUGAGAUUGUUGAAAGAAAUGCCUUUAUGUGAUCUGACUCCCGAUAUGGUUACCUAUGGCUCUGUGAUUAAGGGUCUUUGUGAUGCUGGAGAUUUGGAGGGUGCUCUUGGAUUGGUUAAGGUUAUGAAGGGGCAUGGAUGUGUGCCGAAUUCUGUGAUCUAUUCGACCAUACUCGAUGGAAUUUGUAUGCACGGGAGUUUGAAGCUGGCCUUGGAGUUCUUAGAUGGAAUGGAGAAAGUGGAAGAGAAGGAGAAGGACGAGGGUAGGCCGAAUGUGGUUACUUAUACUACCAUGAUAAAGGGCUUUGUCGAAAAAGGAAUGGCUAGUGAGGCGCGGAGCAUCUUGGAUCGGAUGUAUGAUUCAGAUCUGAAACCGAAUAGGGUGACAUUUGUUACUCUGAUUGAUGGACUUAUCAAAGAAGGGAAAGUAGAGGAGGCUCGUAAGGUAGUUGAUACGUUUGGAGGAGACGGAGUUCGGGCGGACGAGCUUUAUAACGUGCUUGUGUUGUCUCUGUUCCGAGCAGGGAGGCAUAAGGAGUCGGAGGAGAUGUUUAGGAUGAUGUUGGUUCGAGGGCUGAAGCCUAGUGGUUUGACAGCAAGUAGCAUCAUAAGAGGAAUUGUUUUGGAAGGGAGGGUGCUUGAUGGAUACUUCUUGUUUCAAGAAAUCGAAAAGCUGGGAUCUUUGCUGUCGAUCGAUCCUGAUGUUUACUCGAGCCUUCUGGCUUGCCUUUGUCAAGAGAAUCAUCUUGCAGAAGCUGGGAGCCUGGUUAAUAUCAUGGUGGAGAGAAGGGUUCAUUUAGAACCUUCUCAGUUUGAACAUUUAGCUAACUUUAGGAGUUUCUUGAAUUAGUUUGUAGUAUUGAGGUGAGUUUUGUGUGAUCAAUUGCUGUUGAAUCUUGUUUGGAAGCAACUGACUGAUUAGUGGUUAAUAAUAGCAGCACGAAAUUCGGUAGUCAGUCUGAGAGUAAGAAAUUUCAUACUGUUCCAAACAAGGAAGCAGGGAAAAAAUUGGCUGAAAGCAUAGUCAAAGAGCGGCUCGCAGCGUGUGUUAACCGAAUACCAGGUCAGAUUUCUGCAAUUUAGGAAAUAUGUAAUACGGGGACACAGAAAGUGCACUCUCACUGUAUUGAAGAAUAGGUAGUCUCUCAAGGAUUCUAAUCUUGAGUUUAGAUCUUAGCUUGCAGUAGAUCAUUAGUAGCUAAGCUGUUAUUAGCAUUUGAUAUUAUAACUCUCAACUCCUACUUGUUGAUUUGAUAAACUAUGACAGUUUUUUACAUGUUAAACUAGUCUUGGAAUUGUUGCA